UACGGAGAGUGCAAACGUUGUUCGGAUUCACUGGGCGUAAAGGGCACGUAGGCGACUCAGCAAAUCAGUCAUGGAAUCCCGACGCUUACCGUCGGAACGGCGGCUGAAAAUACCGGGCUUGAGGGCGUGAGGGGUCACUGGAACUCCCGGUGAAGCGGUGAAAUGCGUAGAUAUCGGGAGGAACGCCAGAGGCGAAAGCGAGUGACUGACGCGUUCCUGACGCUGAAAUACGAAAGCUAGGGGAGCAAAC
This 250-nucleotide ribosomal RNA is filed under the name uncultured bacterium. RNAcentral's name for it is "partial 16S ribosomal RNA". It matches the Rfam family "Bacterial small subunit ribosomal RNA", at positions 524 to 773 of the family's 1533-position model. The record is from RNAcentral.